Long non-coding RNA from Rosa rugosa (rugosa rose), 798 nucleotides. RefSeq lists it as uncharacterized. The transcript is spliced from 3 exons. The record is from RefSeq and is a predicted model, not a curated record. NCBI's taxonomy places the organism in Eukaryota, Viridiplantae, Streptophyta, Magnoliopsida, Rosales, Rosaceae.
UCUCGGUUCGGUUCUACGACAUAUGUAUACACAUUUUUUUCGGUUCGGUUCCUGGAGACAUAUUCUCGGUUCGGUUCCGGUCCUUGUUUUUAAAACAUCCUUGGAACCGAAAUACAUAUGUCAGUGUAUAAGUGGACAUUAGUGGUGAGCUUAUUUCUGUAAAAUAGACCCUUUCUCAUGUGAUCAGGCACACACUUAGCCUUCCAAAUGCGAUCAGAGCCUUCCAUCUUAUCUCAUAAUAUCCUAUCCAUUCGAUCAAAACCCUAAAAUGUUAUCUCUUCGACUCUUCCCUCAAACUCUCACUCUCUCAGUCUCCAUCCUAGAAACACAAACGGCGCUCGUCCUCGUCUCGUCUGUUGCUCGUCCUCGUCCUCGUCUCGAUUGUAAUAGAAGAUCAAAACCCAGACGACCUCCCUCAAAGUCUCACUCUCUCAGUCUCCUUCGAUUUGUCGAACACAGCUGAGUGUAGUUCAGCGAACACAGCUGCAACCAGCAACCCGUCUCCGCCAGUCCGCCCCUCCGGUCUCCGAGCUCCGCCUUUAGGCUCCAGUGUUUCUAUAUGGAAAAACCGAGGAACCGAGUUUGGAACCGAUCCGAUUUUGGAACCGAAAAACCGAGAAACCGAGAAUGGAACCGAACUGAGAUUGGAACCGAAAAACUGAGGAACCGACCCGAGCAUGGUCGGUUCGGUUCUACAUCGGUUCUUGAUACAAAAAACAGCAAACCCGAACCGAAAAUCAGUUGUCGGUUCCGGUUCCGGGUUCAGUCCUUGAAAUUGCAGAACCGACCCGAGUCCAG